RNAcentral lists this unclassified non-coding RNA (378 nucleotides) under plant metagenome. RNAcentral's name for it is "partial contains 5.8S ribosomal RNA, internal transcribed spacer 2, and large subunit ribosomal RNA". The stretch from base 1 to 105 matches the Rfam family "5.8S ribosomal RNA", at positions 50 to 154 of the family's 154-position model. The record is from RNAcentral.
GAAAUGCGAUAAGUAAUGUGAAUUGCAGAAUUCAGUGAAUAAUCGAAUCUUUGAACGCACCUUGCGCUCCUUGGUAUUCCUUGGAGCAUGCCUGUUUGAGUAUCAUGAAAUCUUCAAAGUAAAUCUUUUGUUAACUCAAUUGGUUUCUACUUUGGUAUUGGAGGUCUUUGCAGCUUCACACCUGCUCCUCUUUGUUCAUUAGCUGGAUCUCAGUGUUAUGCUUGGUUCCACUCGGCGUGAUAAGUUAUCUAUCGCUGAGGACACUGUAAAAGGUGGCCAAGGUAAAUGCAGAUGAACCGCUUCUAAUAGUCCAUUGACUUAGACUAUACUUUUAUGAUCUGAUCUCAAAUCAGGUAGGACUACCCGCUGAACUUAAGC